ACUCCUACGGGAGGCAGCAGUAGGGAAUCUUCCACAAUGGGCGCAAGCCUGAUGGAGCAACACCGCGUGAGUGAAGAAGGGUUUCGGCUCGUAAAGCUCUGUUGUUAAAGAAGAACACGUAUGAGAGUAACUGUUCAUACGUUGACGGUAUUUAACCAGAAAGUCACGGCUAACUACGUGCCAGCAGCCGCGGUAAUACGUAGGUGGCAAGCGUUAUCCGGAUUUAUUGGGCGUAAAGAGAGUGCAGGCGGUUUUCUAAGUCUGAUGUGAAAGCCUUCGGCUUAACCGGAGAAGUGCAUCGGAAACUGGAUAACUUGAGUGCAGAAGAGGGUAGUGGAACUCCAUGUGUAGCGGUGGAAUGCGUAGAUAUAUGGAAGAACACCAGUGGCGAAGGCGGCUACCUGGUCCGCAACUGACGCUGAGACUCGAAAGCAUGGGUAGCGAACAGGAUUAGAUACCCCUGGUAGGAUAGCG
RNAcentral lists this ribosomal RNA (474 nucleotides) under uncultured bacterium. RNAcentral's name for it is "bacterial SSU rRNA". It matches the Rfam family "Bacterial small subunit ribosomal RNA", at positions 335 to 801 of the family's 1533-position model. The record is from RNAcentral.